This is a long non-coding RNA of Amaranthus tricolor (Joseph's coat), 832 nucleotides long. RefSeq lists it as uncharacterized. Lineage: Eukaryota; Viridiplantae; Streptophyta; Magnoliopsida; Caryophyllales; Amaranthaceae. The record is from RefSeq and is a predicted model, not a curated record. The transcript is spliced from 3 exons.
UCCUUUUCGUUCCAUUCACCCAUGAUUCCAUGAAUUAACCCUAACCUUCCUCAAUUUUCACAUAAUCAUACAUAAUUUUCAAAUAAAUUCCAAUUCCAAUUUGUUCGAUGAAGGCUUUUCGUUAGCCAUUGUUGAAGACAUUACUUCUUUUGGCACAUCUUUAUAAUUCGCCAUAUUCAGUGAAGGCUAAUUAGAGAAGAAUUCAAUAAUGUUGCAGUACCUGAGCCACUGAAAGAAAGCAAGAAUUUAGUUCUUUUCACCAUCGGUGAGUUGUUAGCAGUUAUAUCAUUGCCCUGCAUAUUGGUUUUGGAAGAGCAUGAUGGAGAGUACACAUGGAGGGUGUGGUGUUCAGAAUCUUGGAUUAAAAAUGUUUCUAAUGUAAUCGAAAAGCUCAAUCCAUUUGGUGCUAAGGUUUUCUUUGUUGGUCAGAGCAAUACAUUUCUAAUCAUUGGAUUUUUAGGUAGCAUACAAUUUUAUAAAGUUACAAGCCACGAGUUAGAAGUAUCGAGAAAUGGAGAUGCUCGUUUUGUUUUCAUAGGUGCUUAUGUGGAGACCUUAGCAUUACUUACAUGAAGGGAAGAGAUGAUAUUCAUACCCUUCCCUUAGUUAAUGAGAAUUGAUUCAGAAGAACUCAUGACGAACAAUGAAAGUCUACAUUUUCACUAAUCUGUUAUUUAUUUUGUCUGUUAUUAGAUUAAAAGUAAGAAUGAUUUUAGAAGCAUUUGAUGUAUGAUUAAUAAAUUAAUAUUUUUCAUAGUAUUCGAGAACUCAUAAAAUGAAUUAAAUUACUACAUAUUUUAUUACACACAAUAAUAGGGUUGAAUAUUCAUUU